AAACAAAAAUACUGUUUAGAAGAGACUAAUAGAGCGCUUGAAAAAAAGAAGAAAACUUGACAUUAACCAACAUAUAGAAAAGAGAAUCUCAUUUCUUAUAAAUGAUGAAUGUAAAAAAGAGAGAGAAAGCACCUUAUUGUCCCAUAGAAGGGACUGACCACAAAGCAUGGCGCGCGACGUCUGGCUCUAGCGAGUCGAGAGCGAGUUCCAGCUUCAGUGUGUGGUAACUCGUGGUAGGGGAAGGGUGUGCCACGUUGGCUCUCGUGUCUGCAUAUUGCAUGCGCCUUGCACUGUGGAUACAUCCUUUUGAUACGAAGUAAUACGAAAAAAACUAUUUCCGAUAUUGCAAUCGUUUCUCUAGGGUAGAGAAAUACGACUGAUUCUGCAAAGUGAACGGAAAUGCAUUUACAAAUACGUGAUAAUGCAGAACGAAAAUGAACACCUGUUUCCGCGCACCUAGACAGAACGAGACACAACAGGUUUUCAAACACGCAGAGAAAACAAAAGAACAUCAUUACCAGCAACAGCGAACGCGAAGCAUCACAGUAAUGGAAGAAUCAUACAGAGACACCAUAAGCAGCGAUCACCGGGACUACCUAUAGUGCGGGCAGCCAAGAGUAUGAACGAAGGAGCGUGGAGAUGUUGAGCGACCAGCAGGAGAGACACCGGGGGCGGCCAUGGUGACGAUCUAAGGAAGCCAGCAGGGAUGCCCCUGGGGUUCUUCGAGAAGCAUCUUCACCGACGCUCCGUCGGUGGCCAUGACGCCCCCGCUUCCCGCCAGCUGGACUCCACGCCCUCCAAUUCUAGGAAAGGAUCACGGGCGUGGGUGGAGGACUGCUGCGGCGGCGAGAACGACCUGUACGACGACCCCCCACCCAUACCCUCCCGGUUCAACCAUGCCACGCACAAGCUCAGCGACCUGCACCCUCAGCUCGACCUACCGGGCACUCGAAAGACCCGACCUUCCCUCACAGGCAGCGAGGACCUGCAAGAGCUUCUGCAGAGGAAUUCGAAGUCGAUGGGCGGAGUGUUGGUGUUACUCCUAGCGAUCGUAGUGUUGACAUGGACGCUGGGGGCUUGCGGGGCAUCGUGGGCGUGGCUACUUGUUUCAGUUGGCAUCACGUGGGCGGUUGUGAGAGGCAGCUUAGAAAGAGUAGCUGAGGAUGCUAGCAGAUACGUGUCUCUGCGCCUGCACCGCCGCCGCGCCCUGCAGGCUGACGAGACGUGCGAGUGGCUCAACAUCCUUCUCAAUCGGUGGUGGGUGUUCUCCUCGUCCUCCAUCUUCGCUAAAGCCAAGGCUGCCUUAGAUCCCAGGCUCCUUGAGGCCAAACCUGCUUUCCUGGAGACCAUCAGCUUGAAGCAGCUGUCGCUUGGGGACCGCACGCCCGUCAUCCGCAGCGUCCGCGCCUGGGAUGUCAGCACGCCGGGGGUGGAAGGGGCCCCCCGCCGCCCUCUGUGUCCUUCGCGCCCUCCUGCAGGACUCGACCACGCCCCCACGCACACGGUCGCUCUGCUGUGUGACCUCGCCCUCGACUCUGACUCCUUCUCUGCUGUGCUGGCGGCGAGGAUCGGGGGGAAAGGCAUGGGCGUGGACCUGGACGUGGCCGUGGAGAAGCUGGCCGUGUUGGGGCGCGUGAUGGUCACGGCGACCUUGGACAUGGAAGCGCCCUUCCCGCACCUCACUCGCAUCUCCCUGUCCUUCACCGAGAAGCCCCAAGUGUGGUUCAGCGUCCGUAUCCUCAAGGCUGUGCAAAUGAUGGAGGUACCGGUCCUGAAGACGUGGCUGCAUUCGCUGGUGAUGGACGCCCUCGCCUCGGCCUGGGUCGACCCAGGUCAGCUGGAGAUCAACAUCCACUCAAGCGAAGCCUUUGUACCCGAGCAGCGGACAGGGGACGCCCUUGCACAGGGUGUUCUCACCGUUAUAUUAUGGACGCAGAAGGGGUCGUCAGGCCUAGCCGUGGACGAGGACAAGUGGGUGGUGGUGCUCAUUGGCGGCCAGCAGCACGUGACGCCCCCGCUCAACACACCCCGGUGGCAGGAGGCGUGCAGCUUUCUGGUGGAUUCCUCCCUCAACAACCACAACCUCGUGCUCAAGGUCAAGAGUAAACGGCUUAUUACAACAACCAUAACGCAGUUCGACCUUCCGCUUAGUCAGUACAGCUUGGACACAAGUAGAGUCGUAGAGACGGUGCUCCACAAGAAGGGCGUCAAGGUAAUGGGGGGGAGUGUGCCCCCUCUCCACCUGCGUCUGCAAUACACCCCCCUCACUGCUGUCAACUUGGACGUGCCCCUUCCGCCUGCCCUCGUCGAGAACCAGGAAGGUGCCGGUGUAUUAUACAUUCUGGUCCACGGGGCUGACAACAUCACAACCUCAGACUACCUUCCAUCAUGUUAUUGCCUCAUCUUCAGUAACAGAAAGAAGGUGAAGACGACCCACUACGUGUGCGAAUGCGGGUCGCCAAGGUGGGAGUGUGGCGUGGAGGUGCUGGUCAGGGAGGUCUCCACCGUCACCCUCUCCUUCGCCGUCUGUUCGAUGCCCAGAGGGAGCCAGGACACCGAGCUCCUUGGCCUGACCUCGUUCUCUCUCGCCACGAUGGAACUGCCCAUAGUACGCCGUCAGUUGCCCCUGAGCAGGAGUCUCCCGACGCCAGGCUGUGCCGUUUCGUCUGGUCCUUCGCCAGGGACAGUGACCGUAUCCGUGGUGUUCCGAGCCGUGGCUUCCGUGGCAGGAUGCAAUAUGUCUUCCGGGGAGAUGCUGUCGGACAAGUAUCCCCCGCAGACGUCCAGAUCUCCGGUGCCUCCUUGCACCUCCUUGUCCGCGCCGCCCCAGAGACGCUCCUCUUUACCCACGGCCGACGACGAGGACCUGGCCACGAAGAAGAGGAACAACACCCACUGGAUCAGCCAUGCUCGUCAAGAACCAACGAAUCAAAUCCUAAACACCUGUGACGGGCGCGUGCCAGUACCCGGACACCGACCCCAACCCCUCAUACUGGAAUCUGGUUCAUUGCAGAAACAGUUCCUAGCAACAGGGCGGGAUGGAGACGGGGGCACGCAGGACAUCGGGGACAUCCUAGCCUCGGGUCUCGGCCUCAUGGAACUCACAAUCAUCAGAGCUCGAGACUUGGUGGCUAAAGACCUAAAUGGCUACAGUGACCCGUACUGCGUCGUGAAAAUCAACAGUGAGGUAAAGUACCGCACUCGAGUCAAGAAGAAGACCCUCAACCCAGAGUGGGAGGAAACCUUGAUGACGCACCUUCCAAGACACCCAGACAUCCUUGCUAUAACCUUAUGGGAUCAUGAUGCCUUUGGAAGGGAUUUCCUUGGUUCCGUCGCUUUAAAGGAGGCAGACGUCCGAGACCUGUCCCAUAAAGAUGCGCCGAAGUGGUGUACGCUCGAGGGUACCAAGUCAGGUCAAAUAGAGAUCAAAGUCAAGGUCAUUUCGGAUGAUUAUGAGCACCAAAUUAUACCAUCAACGACAGACAUGAGUUUAACUUCAAGCACAGCAGCGGCAGAUGACAUGGAGAGAACUGAUGAAAUGAGCAGAUCAAACAGUGUCAAAGAUGAAGUUGCUGGUGCUUCAUCAGGAGAAGAUUCAGGAGUGCUUUUGCACCAAGUAUCGCCGACACAUGAGACUGAGAAACCAAGAUUGCCCCGAAUGGGCUCUCAAAGUGUGUCAUAUGUAGCGGGGGAUCAUCCUCUUCUGUCAAAUGGCAGAAGAGCAAGUGAGUCAGCUGUUCUGAUCCCCCCAGCUCACACCAGGGAUGACCAAGACGGCAGCUUCAGUGGCUCUGUCACUCCAUCUACUUCCAGCCCAGUCCGCACAAUGUCAAAAUCGAGGAGAACUGGGGCUAACAUAAUUGCUAGUGCCUUAGCAAUGACACGCAGCCAUACCAGACCGGAGACGCCGAAUGGGGAUUCAUCUUCCUCAUCCCACUGUCAAGGAGACAGUCCUGUUACAACUGACGACCAAAGCUCAGGAACGAACAGUCUUACGCCAACUUCCAAGUCACAUGGAAAACCACUUCCCAAGAUUAGUUUAACAGAGCAUAGUGAAGAUGACUAUGGUGGCAGUAGCCCAGAACACCAUGUUAAAAGCAAGAAAUCAUCAGAUAGUGGUCUGAGGGCCAUGCGGGAGAAGCUACGUCGUCUACGAAAGUAGGGGUAACGAACAGUCUGUCACAGCGGCCAGGUGUAUUUCUCAACGUACGGGGUAUGGCAGGGCAAGUACAGGGCCUCCACAUACCUCGCUCUGGGUUGCAACUUUUCCUGCGUGUCCGUGUGAGUGAAGAGAAAACCACCAAUAGCAGCAGCAGCAGUAGUAACAAAAUUACCAAGACUGUAGGUCGGUCUCGUCUGGUGCCUGCCUCACCCUCGCCUACUUUUGAUUGUGAAUGGAUUAUAGAAGGUGAAGCUACCAGAAG
RNAcentral lists this unclassified non-coding RNA (4424 nucleotides) under Penaeus japonicus. RNAcentral describes it as "uncharacterized LOC122255341, transcript variant X11". The record is from RNAcentral. Lineage: Eukaryota; Metazoa; Arthropoda; Malacostraca; Decapoda; Penaeidae.